AAUCAACGCUGGCGGCGUGCCUCAGACAUGCAAGUCGAACGAUUAAAGCUCUCUUCGGAGAGUGUAUAGAGUGGCGCACGGGUGAGUAACACGUAAGUAAUCUACCUUUGGGUGGGGAAUAACAGUCGGAAACGACUGCUAAUACCGCAUAAUGCAGCGGCACCGCAAGGUGACAGUUGUUAAAGGAGCAAUUCGCUUAAAGAGGAGCUUGCGGCAGAUAGCUUGUUGGUAAGGUAACGGCUUACCAAGGCUACGAUCUGUAUCCGGUCUUAGAGGACGGUCGGACACACU
RNAcentral lists this ribosomal RNA (291 nucleotides) under uncultured bacterium. Its description in RNAcentral is "partial 16S ribosomal RNA". It matches the Rfam family "Bacterial small subunit ribosomal RNA", at positions 32 to 314 of the family's 1533-position model. The record is from RNAcentral.